UGACAAGCAUGUCCUGUACUGCCUAAAAGU
This 30-nucleotide non-coding RNA is filed under the name Rattus norvegicus (Norway rat). Lineage: Eukaryota; Metazoa; Chordata; Mammalia; Rodentia; Muridae. The record is from RNAcentral.